CCCCGGCGCCACAAGUGGGAACCACUUUUAUUGGGUCUAAAGCACCCGUAGCCGGCAAUAUAAAUGCCCUGUGAAAUAGUCAGGCUCAACCUGACUGCGUGCAGGGUAGACUGUAUUGCUUGAGACCGGGAGAGGUCAACGGUAUUCCUUGGGGAACGGUAAAAUGUUAUAAUCCAAGGAGGACCACCGAUGGCGAAAGCAGUUGGCCAGAACGGAUCUGACGGUCAGGGGUGAAAGCUAGGGGAGCGAUCGG
This 253-nucleotide ribosomal RNA is filed under the name uncultured archaeon. RNAcentral describes it as "partial 16S ribosomal RNA". It matches the Rfam family "Archaeal small subunit ribosomal RNA", at positions 474 to 726 of the family's 1478-position model. The record is from RNAcentral.